UACGUAGGGUGCAAGCGUUAUCCGGAAUUAUUGGGCGUAAAGAGCUCGUAGGCGGUUUGUCGCGUCUGCUGUGAAAACUGGAGGCUCAACCUCCAGCCUGCAGUGGGUACGGGCAGACUAGAGUGCGGUAGGGGAGAUUGGAAUUCCUGGUGUAGCGGUGGAAUGCGCAGAUAUCAGGAGGAAUACCAAUAGCGAAGGCAGCUCGCUGGGACGUUACUGACACUAAGGCGCGAAAGCGUGGGGAGCGAACAGG
This 253-nucleotide ribosomal RNA is filed under the name uncultured bacterium. RNAcentral describes it as "partial 16S ribosomal RNA". It matches the Rfam family "Bacterial small subunit ribosomal RNA", at positions 524 to 776 of the family's 1533-position model. The record is from RNAcentral.